ACUCAAAUGAAUUGACGGGGGCCCGCACAAGCGGUGGAGCAUGUGGUUUAAUUCGAUGCAACGCGAAGAACCUUACCCAGACUUGACAUGCACCGGACAGGUGUGGAAACACACCCUCCUUUCGGGGCCGGUGCACAGGUGCUGCAUGGCUGUCGUCAGCUCGUGUCGUGAGAUGUUGGGUUAAGUCCCGCAACGAGCGCAACCCUUGUCCUUAGUUGCCAGCAAGUGAAGUUGGGCACUCUAAGGAGACUGCCGUCGCUAAGGCGGAGGAAGGUGGGGAUGACGUCAAGUCCUCAUGGUCCUUACGUCUGGGGCUACACACGUGCUACAAUGGCCGGUACAAAGGGUCGCAAUACCGCGAGGUGGAGCCAAUCCCAAAAAACCGGUCUCAGUUCGGAUUGCAGUCUGCAACUCGACUGCAUGAAGGCGGAAUCGCUAGUAAUCGCUGAUCAGCAGGCAGCGGUGAAUAUGUUCCCGGGCCUUGCACACACCGCCCGU
This 498-nucleotide ribosomal RNA is filed under the name uncultured bacterium. RNAcentral's name for it is "partial 16S ribosomal RNA". It matches the Rfam family "Bacterial small subunit ribosomal RNA", at positions 899 to 1397 of the family's 1533-position model. The record is from RNAcentral.